CGUCUAUAUACGUAUAGCAUAUCAAUAAGCGGAGGAAAAGAAACUAACUAGGAUUCCCUCAGUAACGGCGAGUGAAGCGGGAAGAGCUCAAAUUUGAAAUCUUCAAGGUUCUACCUUGACGAAUUGUAGUUUAAAGAAGUGUUUUCUGUUGGAGUUUUGGUAAAAGUUCUUUGGAAUAGGACAUCAUAGAGGGUGAGAAUCCCGUAUUUGACCAUUAUUUCCAACUUUGUGAUACACUUUCAAAGAGUCGGAUUGUUUGGGAAUGCAGUCCAAAAUGGGUGGUAAAUUUCAUCUAAAGCUAAAUACUGGCGAGAGACCGAUAGCGAACAAGUACCGUGAGGGAAAGAUGAAGAGAACUUUGAAAAGAGAGUUAAACAGUACGUGAAAUUGUCAAAAGGGAAGCGUUUGACACCAGUGUUGUUUUCUCGAAAAUCAAUUAAAAAUGGCAGGAUUUUGUGUUGUAUUGACUUUAUCAGCUUUCUGCACUUUUUUCCUAUCUUUUUUAAUGCACUUUUCGUUUAACAAGUCAACAUCAAUUUCUUUUGUUGUAAAAGGGUCAUUGGAAGGUGGCUUUCUUUUCGGAGAAAGUGUUUAUAGCCUUUGACUUCUGCAAUCGGAGAGAUUGAGGUCUGCAGCGUAGAUCCUUCGGGGUUAGAUGCAUUUGUGCUAAGUUAUAGCCUUUCAUAGACAACUUGUUGACUAUGAUCAGUCAUGUAGCUUACUCGCUUAUGUCAGUUUACCUACGCUUAGGAUGUUGACGAUCAGCUGAGCGCG
This 774-nucleotide ribosomal RNA is filed under the name uncultured Neocallimastigales. Its description in RNAcentral is "partial large subunit ribosomal RNA". It matches the Rfam family "Eukaryotic large subunit ribosomal RNA", at positions 26 to 627 of the family's 3401-position model. Lineage: Eukaryota; Fungi; Neocallimastigomycota; Neocallimastigomycetes; Neocallimastigales. The record is from RNAcentral.